UUCCCGAUUCAAGGGUAGGCAGCGCCCUCUUCAGCAUGCUUUUUCAGCUAAAGGUAAGAUAUUGUAAACAAAAAUAUUUUGAGUGUUAUUUGUGAAGAAAGAAAUAUGAUGGACAAAGAAAAUAGUGUAUUCCUCAGUUUAACUGAAUAUUUCCGGUAUUUGAAAGCAACUCCAAAUAAUAGGAAUGUGAUAGAAGGAGAAGCGGUCUUGAAUGCAUGUAAUUAUGUGUGGGAAUAUAGGUAAAAGUAUUAGUAUUAUGCUUAGAAUUGUUCGGCUUAUGCUUGCAGACUUCAGCCCUUUCAGCAGAUCCUCAUGAAAUCAGAGGAAAAAUAAUAACAACUAAAGAAACUGCAACAAUAUCAGCUUUCAGCUGUUCUUGUAAGGCUGGAUUAGGAGGCAGAUGUAAACAUAUAUCAGCUCUACUCUUACAUUUUACCAGGUUGUAUAAUUUUUAUUUAUUUUAUGUCUGAAUCAGGACUUCCAAUUGAACAAUAA
Long non-coding RNA from Harmonia axyridis, 495 nucleotides. RefSeq lists it as uncharacterized. The transcript has 2 exons. The record is from RefSeq and is a predicted model, not a curated record. NCBI's taxonomy places the organism in Eukaryota, Metazoa, Arthropoda, Insecta, Coleoptera, Coccinellidae.